Molecule: ribosomal RNA, 240 nt
Filed under: uncultured Lactobacillus sp.
Lineage: Bacteria; Bacillati; Bacillota; Bacilli; Lactobacillales; Lactobacillaceae
Description: partial 16S ribosomal RNA
Rfam family: Bacterial small subunit ribosomal RNA
Source: RNAcentral
UAACCUGCCCAAGAGAUCGGGAUAACACCUGGAAACAGAUGCUAAUACCGGAUAACAACAGAUGAUGCCUAUCAACUGUUUAAAAGAUGGUUCUGCUAUCACUCUUGGAUGGACCUGCGGUGCAUUAGCUAGUUGGUAGGGUAACGGCCUACCAAGGCGAUGAUGCAUAGCCUAGUUGAGAGACUGAUCGGCCACAUUGGGACUGAGACACGGCCCAAACUCCUACGGGAGGCAGCAGUC